This 3088-nucleotide unclassified non-coding RNA is filed under the name Leishmania donovani. Its description in RNAcentral is "gene:LdHU3.29.1470(CDS-product:hypothetical_prote in_conserved)". Lineage: Eukaryota; Euglenozoa; Kinetoplastea; Trypanosomatida; Trypanosomatidae. The record is from RNAcentral.
UGGAGAGGGACUCGGCUCACGCGGCAGCCGCGAUAGCACCAGCAGCGGUGCUGCUCACUGCUGAGACGACGAGAGAGAGAGGGACGGCAACGUACGCGUCACCUUGACGUAUACUAGAGCACGAGCGCGUGGAUUUUUCAGCAGAGAGCCGUCAACGCGCAGCGAGCAUACUCCUUUCCUUUACACUUCUCCUGUUGCGUCCCCCUGGUCUUUUGAGUCCUCACCUGUGCACCCACUGGCAACCACGCGACGAGGCGACCUAUUCCUGAUUUAUGCCCACUUCUCUCUCAUAUCCACAGGCAGUACCAGCACCCCACAGACUCUCUACUGGUCUCCUCAUCUCUCCCCACACCCUCACGUCUCGCUAUUUACAGUUCGGCGUGUUGGCUGCCUAGGCGGCCCCGCCAUCAUGCGUUGCAGCGCGUCUACGCAGCAGCUCCUCGAUGAGCUCGCCGCGCGAGAGCGACGAGUCCUGCAGCAGUUGCGCGAUCUCUCCGGUAUGAAGGCAUCUCCGAUCGCACCUAGCCGGCCCUGCGCAAGUUUGCCGAUGACCCCGGAGCGACUCAACGUCGCUUCAACACACCCGGCAUCGUCGACACCCCUACCGCAACUGCUUCCCUCUCCUUUGUCUACCACCGAGCAUGAGGAGUAUCAAGUAAAGACGCCGUCGUGGCGCCAGCAGGGCAGCUGCCACCAUGACGUCCACCACCCCUCGCGUGGGACUUUGGGCAACCUGGAGCGAGACCUUCAGCGACUUCAGUACCUACUGCGGCACAGUCCGCUGACGGGGACGCAGGCAGCGAUUGCGGACGCAGGCGACGAGAACGGCUCUGAGGCGACCAACGCACAACAGUCGCAGCAGCAUCUCCCGAUGACGCACAGAGACGACGGCGCUGCAAUGGCACGUGAGAAGAGGACACGCGAAGCGCGGCGGCCCAACUUGAGUGCAUCCCCGGUGACACCGGAGGUGAAGCGCGACCGACAAGAGAUGGAAGCCUACUACGCUCCACCGCCGCCCCUGACGCCUCUCCCAUCGUACGCAGAGGCGUCUCUGCAGCAUCCAGGCGGCGGCUCAACCUCUUCAGCGCGAGGCAGUGCGGUGCUCAGCAUGGACGAUGAGCCCUGCGACGAGGAUGUGGCGCUCGCCAGUGACGCUCUAGCACACUUCUCUCAAGUUGCUGCGGGGUUGGUAACCAGCGGUGUAGAGAACCGGCUUAGAAGGGCGAAUACGACUAUGUUUCCUGGACGGUGCUCAGCAAAGACUGUAGGCGGCUUGCAAGCGAGCCCCUACCGUGAGCCAGACGACACAGUGCCGAGAGAGGCGCACAGUCGGCAGGGCGUCACCCCUGCGGUGACCCCUUCGACUAGUGAGUGGCGACGCUCUCCGGUGCGGUGGUUUUCUUCUUCCGCCCCCACGGCGACUUCAAUCUCGAAGGACGCGCCCCGACACGAGUGGUGCGAGGAGGGGGAGGAGGAGGUGACGAUGCUCUGUGUGUCUGCGUUGGACGCAUGGGCUGCGCAUCGCUCGGCGCAUUGCGUGCCUCACGGGACAGCCAAUUUCGACUCGGCUUCCAUUGCGACCUCUCCACCGCCGGCGAGGACAUUUUCUCGGGCUUCACGUCCACCUCUGUCGCCAUCUCGUCCCGGAGAGCUAUCGGAUAUCCACGCAACUCCGCACCCAGCCCUGCCGAGCACCAACUCGCCCCCACACGUACCAGCGCGGUCCCCGUCUCCCUUUGCCAAAACCUGUCAACUCGCCGUUUCCACUGCCGGUCUCACCUUCCUCACACCUACCCUUGACGAGGACGAAGCUGCGCAGCCCUUCGCUGCCACAUUACCGCCGCAAGCUGCAACGCCGCAAGAAACCUUGCACAGCGGUAACGACCACCACAGCAGCAGAGUAUCGACGGAGCCUCAGACUUCGUGUGUUGCAUCCGCCUUGCCGAGCGGUGUCAUGCGAACCACCUCGUGGUCUACUCUGAAGGCGUUCUACGCCCGACAGUCCAGCGCCGGCGCCCUAAUGACACCGUCGUGGGAAGAGGGUACCCGAUAGCUUACGAAGCGCAGAUGGAGUGCAAGGGCAGCGCAUGGGGGCUGGUGAUACGGCUGCCCCUUUUCGCACUAUCGAACGAGAGGGGCCCGUUACGGAAGCGGUGCCAUCAUCUAAAGUGCGCACUCUUCGUUACCACACGCACACCCAUUUACGCCUGUAGCAUCCUUGCGUGGGGUGAGGGGUGGGUGGGCAUUCAUAGACUGGCAUAGAGACAGCUUAUUCAGCUGACCUAGGAGGAGACGCACGCACCAGAGACACAAGCAUACCCGCACAUAUUUACACGCGUGCACCUGGCUUCGGCUCCCACACGUGCAUAGGCGCGCUCGCUUUCUCACCGGCUCAACGGAACGACUCCUGGUGCGUCGUACUGCGGCAACGUUUUUCGUUCAUCAUUUGCGUUUCCUGAACACAUCGGCCACCUCAGUGCGCGGCAUCACGCGAUCCGUUACACCCCACGUUGUGUGUGAGGAAGGCAAGCACCCCCUGUCCCCUGCCAAUGCCGAACAACCUCUGGUGGUGGCAGGGCCAAGCAGCUGUGACGUAGGGGUGGACAGGGCGAUGUGUCGCUGCUGAUGUCGGCGGUCAGGUCGUGGAUGGCGUUGCGCCGGAGCGGCCUGCGGCAGUGAACGCACUUGCGCCAUCCAUCUGGUGGGCAUGGUGUCGCCGCAGCUCGAGCGCAUCCCCGCCCCGCGCCUCACACUGCCUGCUGGCGGGGGGAGCCUGAGCUACCCCGAGGGACGCACGAGGUGGGGACCGGCGCAAUGUGAGCCGCUGUGGGGCGGCCUCCGCUUCGCAGGCCGGUAGUGUUUUGAGGCAGAGGCCAUGCUCGGAUGACGGAGUCGGCGCAUUGCUGUAGAGCGUGUGCACGACUGCUUUGCGCCACGCGAUGGGGGCCUGCGACAUGCCGGGUGGAGUGUUGUCGAGCUCACGUUGCGUGGCGGAGAACGGACACGUUGAGCAGAAAAGGCGCAUAACCCAACGACGAACCUCUCGCUGCUCUUUGGUCUCCGAUUUCUCUCGGCUGAGGCUCACUUC